This 450-nucleotide ribosomal RNA is filed under the name uncultured bacterium. Its description in RNAcentral is "bacterial SSU rRNA". It matches the Rfam family "Bacterial small subunit ribosomal RNA", at positions 354 to 796 of the family's 1533-position model. The record is from RNAcentral.
GUGGGGAAUAUUGGACAAUGGGGGGAACCCUGAUCCAGCCAUGCCGCGUGUGUGAAGAAGGUCUUCGGAUUGUAAAGCACUUUAAGUUGGGAGGAAGGGCAGUAAGUUAAUACCUUGCUGUUUUGACGUUACCGACAGAAUAAGCACCGGCUAACUUCGUGCCAGCAGCCGCGGUAAUACGAAGGGUGCAAGCGUUAAUCGGAAUUACUGGGCGUAAAGCGCGCGUAGGUGGUUUUGUAAGUUGGAGGUGAAAUCCCCGGGCUCAACCUGGGAACUGCCUCCAAAACUGCAUGACUAGAGUACGGUAGAGGGUAGUGGAAUUUCCUGUGUAGCGGUGAAAUGCGUAGAUAUAGGAAGGAACACCAGUGGCGAAGGCGACUACCUGGACUGAUACUGACACUGAGGUGCGAAAGCGUGGGGAGCAAACAGGAUUAGAAACCCCAGUAGUCC